GCAUAUGAUGAGAACAUAUAUUUUUAUCUGAAAAAAAUUGUUGAAUAAAAAUUUAUGCGUUAUCUUUCUGAUG
This 73-nucleotide small nucleolar RNA is filed under the name Schizosaccharomyces pombe (fission yeast). RNAcentral's name for it is "small nucleolar RNA R68 (predicted)". Lineage: Eukaryota; Fungi; Ascomycota; Schizosaccharomycetes; Schizosaccharomycetales; Schizosaccharomycetaceae. The record is from RNAcentral.